ACCAAAGAUGUCUUUGUUGGCACAGUUUAUCAGAACGUAUUCUACUUUUCUUCUGGUUUCAUAUCUGACAAACUUCACCACUGAAGUUCAUGCACCAGCAGCUCCAGACUUCUUUGGGAUGGAUGAACCAACUACA
Molecule: long non-coding RNA, 136 nt
Organism: Nanorana parkeri
Lineage: Eukaryota; Metazoa; Chordata; Amphibia; Anura; Dicroglossidae
Exons: 2
Source: RefSeq, a predicted model, not a curated record